Long non-coding RNA from Bradysia coprophila, 169 nucleotides. Lineage: Eukaryota; Metazoa; Arthropoda; Insecta; Diptera; Sciaridae. The record is from RefSeq and is a predicted model, not a curated record.
AUUAAAUGGAACAAAUUUGAAUAGUCUACACCGAGCGAAAUUUCCUACGUGCUAUGCGUAUAUCAUUCGUGCCCCCUGUUAAAAAGUGUGGUAAGGUAGUUAUACAACCGGCUCGAAUAUAAUACGUGCGAGACGUAUUUCUCUUCCACAAAGAUUUAAAAAUAUGAAU